Cinara cedri is the source of this 232-nucleotide non-coding RNA. NCBI's taxonomy places the organism in Eukaryota, Metazoa, Arthropoda, Insecta, Hemiptera, Aphididae. The record is from the annotation of a GenBank genome assembly.
UCGGGGGGGGGGGGCUACGUGAAUUCGGCCCCUUGAAAAUGUCUAUUUCGGCGACGAAGGCUAAGGUCGCGCAUUUCUAAACGUCGGUUGCUAAAAAUCGCAUUAAAUUGGCUAAAUACUUGCACAGUUUUGGCGUCCCCGCGACUAAGCCGGCACAACGCGACGUUUCGAAGUAUAUUACAAUAGUGGGAAAAAAGCAAAACGUAGCGGUAAGUCACGCGAGAUUCGCGUU